Long non-coding RNA from Enhydra lutris kenyoni (northern sea otter), 2121 nucleotides. RefSeq lists it as uncharacterized. The record is from RefSeq and is a predicted model, not a curated record. The transcript has 5 exons. Lineage: Eukaryota; Metazoa; Chordata; Mammalia; Carnivora; Mustelidae.
GUGGGCCUGCGGGUGGCAGGCUGACCACAGCGGAACAGUCCUUCAGGAUCACCCUAAACUGUAUGGAAAAUGUAUUGGACACUAGAAUGAAAAAAGAGACUUUUUCAAGUCCUCGAGGUACGCAUCACCGUGGAGGCUGGGAGAGUUUGGUGACAGUGCUGGGAUCCUAAGGAGACCUCACACGGCUUCGGGGACAGCAAGAAACACAGGCAGUGGAGACUGUGAGCCCCGAGGUGUCUCUGUCACCGUUUGUGAGGCCGUGGAACAAGAAUACCACCCGACCCUCAUGAGCCACAUGCCGGAGAGUACUCGUACUGGAAGAGACGAGUCAAGUCAAGUCAAGGACUCCCUCUGUCCUAUUGUGAAAGGACCUUUCUGGUACUGCUGACCAGUUCCUGCCCAGCUAACCCUGGAGGCAUCUGCCCCAACGUCCAGGAGUCAGGGGACCUGAAAGGAACAGCCGCAAGCUCUCCAGCCACCAGCAGCAGAGGGCUAGCCCAGAUGUCGGACCAGGCCUCGAACUCUCCUCCUUCCCUCUGAAAAUCGUGACAGGCAAAAAUGAAGCAGACUCCUCCACCCAUUUGAUUUUGCAGAACUGAGAAUCAGGAAGGAAUCCUACCAAGAACUCCUGACACCGCUGCUCGAUUACAGGGUGCUGAACCCUAGUGCGUAUUUUGUGACCGAAGAAGGCUCCAUCUCCCGUCUGGUCCACUGCAGAAGCUGGAGACGCCAGACUCAAACUGACAAGUUAGAGGGGUACCAAGUCGAGGUUGAGGGCUUCCUCCCAAGGUGUGGCAAAUUUCUCCUUCCCUCUCUGACCAUUCUUCCCCUAAUUCUUACUCCAUGAAGGUCUGCGUGAUCCUUUUGUCCACCUUUCUCCUGGCCCUGGCCUGCAGAGAUAAUGCCAUUGUGCACCCGUCUCAGGCCACUGCCACGGGAGAGGUAAUCUGCCCGUCACAGACUUCUGCCUGACUGCCCGCGCCUCAGUUACCCUGGGCCCAACGCAGCCCCUCUCUCCACCAGGUCACAGGCCCUGGUUACGAACCCCAGGCCCAGAGAACUUGGCGUCCAGGCUCUGUCCAAAGAAAGGGACACCAGGCAAGGGUAAUAACCAAAUAAAACCACAGACCUCGAGUUGUACUGGCCUCCGUGGCUGUCCUCCUCUGAGUCCCAAGCCACAGACUCAAAUAGAAAUGACCAAGAACCAUUCACGAAUCCAAGUUUGCUUCCCUUGGCAGAUCGUCCGCCUCCUGGACAGGAGUAAGCACGAGCAAGCCUGCACUUUGGGACUUCUCCCUCACUCUCGCAGAUGUCGCAGAAUUGGCUUCUAGAACAAGACCUGCCUCACGAAUUCCUAGGCUCUCUGCCCGAGCUGUUCCUACGCAUAGCCCUGGAGUGUCUCUCAGCUGAGGUGCUGCUGUGGCCAAACAGUGCCACUUGCUGAACUCGGAUCGAUGCUUCCCGGGAAGUGAAGACUCAGUUACCCAACACCCCCGCACACGGCAGUGGCUUACAAAAGGGACUCCGUCGGUGGGGUCUUCCUGAUCAGUUGUUCCUCUGCUCUGAUAACCACAGUCGUCCCACUCACGCACGCUUUGCUCUCAAAAGCUUUAACUACAUGGUUGCAGCCAUUCACCACCCAGCAAAGGAUCUCUCUACGGACAGAACUUCAGAAAAGGAACGAAGAGAAUGACCAGUGUAAAUAAUGAACCUGAUCUACUGACCUGUGAGUACCGCACAGAUUCAGCAAAACCUGUGAGAACUGAGCGUUAGCUACAAGUAACCCUAAUGCCUUAAGUUUUGAUCACAUCUCUUGGUGAGGCUAGGAGUCUGAUUAAAAGGAAGGAAUUGUUAAAAAUAAGAAAACGAGCCCCAAAUGGAGUCACCGAUGCUAAGACCCACAUCACCAAACUGAGACCUCAACUUUAGUAUCAGUUCUCCCAGAGUCAUAACCCAAUCAAAAAUGACCUUGCAAGAACCAGUCGAUUUUUUGCCUCGUAUAAAUCCGUGUUCCUGCUCCCUUCUGCCUAGAGAAGUCUCAUCUGGAACAGCUCCUUUCUGUCUGCUAGAGAUGCUGCCCGAGUCAUGAAUUACUGAAUAAAGCCUAUACUGUCUCUCCGA